RNAcentral lists this ribosomal RNA (253 nucleotides) under uncultured bacterium. Its description in RNAcentral is "partial 16S ribosomal RNA". It matches the Rfam family "Bacterial small subunit ribosomal RNA", at positions 524 to 776 of the family's 1533-position model. The record is from RNAcentral.
GACGGAAGGUGCAAGCGUUGCUCGGAAUCACUGGGCGUAAAGGGCGCGUAGGCGGCCUGAUAAGUAGGGGGUGAAAUCCUGCGGCUUAACCGCAGGGCUGCCUUCUAAACUGUCAGGCUUGAGCACAGUAGAGGCAGGUGGAAUUCCCGGUGUAGCGGUGGAAUGCGUAGAGAUCGGGAAGAACAUCAGUGGCGAAGGCGGCCUGCUGGGCUGUUGCUGACGCUGAGGCGCGACAGCGUGGGGAGCAAACAGG